CUACGGGACACUGCAGUGGGGAAUAUUGCACAAUGGGCGCAAGCCUGAUGCAGCCAUGCCGCGUGUAUGAAGAAGGCCUUCGGGUUGUAAAGUACUUUCAGCGGGUAGGAAGGGAGUAAAGUUAAUACCUUUGCUCAUUGACGUUACCCGCAGAAGAAGCACCGGCUAACUCCGUGCCAGCAGCCGCGGUAAUACGGAGGUUGCAAGCGUUAAUCGGAAUUACUGGGCGUAAAGCGCACGCAGGCGGUUUGUUAAGUCAGAUGUGAAAUCCCCGGGCUCAACCUGGGAACUGCAUCUGAUACUGGCAAGCUUGAGUCUCGUAGAGGGGGGUAGAAUUCCAGGUGUAGCGGUGAAAUGCGUAGAGAUCUGGAGGAAUACCGGUGGCGAAGGCGGCCCCCUGGACGAAGACUGACGCUCAGGUGCGAAAGCGUGGGGAGCAAACAGGAUUAGAUACCCGCGUAGUC
This 464-nucleotide ribosomal RNA is filed under the name uncultured bacterium. Its description in RNAcentral is "partial 16S ribosomal RNA". It matches the Rfam family "Bacterial small subunit ribosomal RNA", at positions 339 to 795 of the family's 1533-position model. The record is from RNAcentral.